CACCACCAUCAGACUCCUGUAACUCCACAGGAAAAAAAUUUGGCCUUUACUGGCCAAAAGUUUAAUGUAUCUUUUGAGAAAAGCUUUUGAAACAUUCCAUGAUCAAUUGAAGCACCAUGUAUCUUGAAGUCGACCUAGGCUAAUGCAGCAAUGGAGUGCUUGUCUUUUUUCCAGCUUUUUGGUCAGAUGGUGGAGAAACUGUCAAAAAGGGGGCUAGAACAAUGGCCCACUACGUCUAAUCUGGAAUGCAAGAAUAAAUCUUGACAUAAAAACUGUUAAGAAUAUGAAGUUUUGGUACUCUGCUAGGAAAAUAGUAGCUCUAUCAAAAAUGGCCUUCGGUUGUAACUGAAUUUUUUCAAAGUAGAACCUGUUACAAGCAUUCCAUGAUGUAUUGAAGCCAUAUCUUGUUGUCAAUAGGCUAAUUUUAAGCAUCAUUGAAAUAUUGAAUGUAUUUUAUAAUUUUGACUCUUAGGGUAGUUUCAUUGUUCAAUUUACAAAAACUUUUACAAGGAUUUAGAGUACAAACCAAGAAGAAUGUAAUAAAAUUUAGUCUUUAUUUAUUUUUUAUAUAUUAGUUUUACUACUAAAAUGUAAUUGAUUGUGUGCC
This is a long non-coding RNA of Quercus robur (English oak), 607 nucleotides long. RefSeq lists it as uncharacterized. The transcript is spliced from 2 exons. The record is from RefSeq and is a predicted model, not a curated record. Lineage: Eukaryota; Viridiplantae; Streptophyta; Magnoliopsida; Fagales; Fagaceae.